UCUUCCGUAGUAUAGUGGUCAGUAUGCAAGCUUGUCACGCUUGAGACCCGGGUUCAAUUCCCGGC
This is a transfer RNA of Trichoderma harzianum, 65 nucleotides long. It matches the Rfam family "tRNA". Rfam says of the family: Transfer RNA (tRNA) molecules are approximately 80 nucleotides in length. Their secondary structure includes four short double-helical elements and three loops (D, anti-codon, and T loops). NCBI's taxonomy places the organism in Eukaryota, Fungi, Ascomycota, Sordariomycetes, Hypocreales, Hypocreaceae. The record is from Rfam.